CCUACGGGAGGCAGCAGUGAGGAAUAUUGGUCAAUGGGCGCGAGCCUGAACCAGCCAAGUAGCGUGAAGGAUGACUGCCCUACGGGUUGUAAACUUCUUUUAUAAAGGAAUAAAGUGAGGCACGUGUGCCUUUUUGUAUGUACUUUAUGAAUAAGGAUCGGCUAACUCCGUGCCAGCAGCCGCGGUAAUACGGCGGAUCCGAGCGUUAUCCGGAUUUAUUGGGGUUAAGGGGAGCGUAGGCGGCCUUUUAAGUCAGCGGUGAAAGUCUGGGGCUCAACCAUAGAAUUGCCGUUGAAACUGGGAGGCUUGAGUACAGUUGAGGUAGGCGGAAUUCGUGGUGUAGCGGUGAAAUGCUUAGAUAUCACGAAGAACUCCGAUUGCGAAGGCAGCUUACUAAACUGCCACUGACAUUGAUGCUCGAAAGUGUGGGUAUCAAACAGGAUUAGAUACCCGGGUAGUC
This 460-nucleotide ribosomal RNA is filed under the name uncultured bacterium. RNAcentral describes it as "partial 16S ribosomal RNA". It matches the Rfam family "Bacterial small subunit ribosomal RNA", at positions 338 to 795 of the family's 1533-position model. The record is from RNAcentral.